GACGAACGCUGGCGGCGUGCUUAACACAUGCAAGUCGAACGGAAAGGCCCUGCUUUUGUGGGGUGCUCGAGUGGCGAACGGGUGAGUAACACGUGAGUAACCUGCCCUUGACUUUGGGAUAACUUCAGGAAACUGGGGCUAAUACCGGAUAGGAGCUCCUGCUGCAUGGUGGGGGUUGGAAAGUUUCGGCGGUUGGGGAUGGACUCGCGGCUUAUGCGCUUGUUGGUGGGGUAGUGGCUUACCAAGGCUUUGACGGGUAGCCGGCCUGAGAGGGUGACCGGCCACAUUGGGACUGAGAUACGGCCCAGACUCCUACGGGAGGCAGCAGUGGGGAAUAUUGCACAAUGGGCGGAAGCCUGAUGCAGCAACGCCGCGUGCGGGAUGACGGCCUUCGGGUUGUAAACCGCUUUCGCCUGUGACGAAGCGUGAGUGACGGUAAUGGGUAAAGAAGCACCGGCUAACUACGUG
This 468-nucleotide ribosomal RNA is filed under the name uncultured bacterium. RNAcentral's name for it is "partial 16S ribosomal RNA". It matches the Rfam family "Bacterial small subunit ribosomal RNA", at positions 28 to 507 of the family's 1533-position model. The record is from RNAcentral.